Molecule: non-coding RNA, 22 nt
Filed under: Arabidopsis thaliana (thale cress)
Lineage: Eukaryota; Viridiplantae; Streptophyta; Magnoliopsida; Brassicales; Brassicaceae
Source: RNAcentral
UAGCCAUUUGUUCUUGAGUAGC